UACGGAGGGGGCGAGCGUUAUUCGGAAUUAUUGGGCGUAAAGGGCGCGUAGGCGGCUUGGUAAGUCAAAGGUGAAAUCCCUCAGCUCAACUGAGGAAUUGCCUUUGAAACUGCCUGGCUCGAGGCCGGGAGGGGGUAGCGGAAUUCCCAGUGUAGCGGUGAAAUGCGUAGAUAUUGGGAGGAACACCGGUGGCGAAGGCGGCUACCUGGACCGGUUCUGACGCUGAUGCGCGAAAGCGUGGGGAGCAAACAGG
Molecule: ribosomal RNA, 253 nt
Filed under: uncultured bacterium
Lineage: Bacteria
Description: partial 16S ribosomal RNA
Rfam family: Bacterial small subunit ribosomal RNA
Source: RNAcentral